GAUGAAGAACGCAGCGAAAUGCGAUAAGUAAUGUGAAUUGCAGAAUUCAGUGAAUCAUCGAAUCUUUGAACGCACAUUGCGCCCUCUGGUAUUCCGGGGGGCAUGCCUGUUCGAGCGUCAUUAUAACCACUCAAGCUCUCGCUUGGUAUUGGGGUUCGCGGUUCCGCGGCCCCUAAAAUCAGUGGCGGUGCCUGUCGGCUCUACGCGUAGUAAUACUCCUCGCGAUUGAGUCCGGUAGGUCUACUUGCCAGCAACCCCCAAUUUUUACAGGUUGACCUCGGAUCAGGUAGGGAUACCCGCUUAACUUAAGCAUAUCAAUAAGCGGAGGA
This 329-nucleotide unclassified non-coding RNA is filed under the name soil metagenome. Its description in RNAcentral is "partial contains 5.8S ribosomal RNA, internal transcribed spacer 2, and large subunit ribosomal RNA". The stretch from base 1 to 120 matches the Rfam family "5.8S ribosomal RNA", at positions 35 to 154 of the family's 154-position model. The record is from RNAcentral.